Regulatory RNA element from Arthrobacter sp. ERGS1:01, 114 nucleotides. It matches the Rfam family "SAM (S-adenosyl methionine) riboswitch aptamer". From Rfam's summary of the family: SAM-IV is a mRNA element that regulates gene expression via direct sensing of S-adenosylmethionine (SAM or AdoMet). SAM-IV riboswitches share conserved nucleotide positions with the previously described SAM-I riboswitches sequence analysis and molecular recognition experiments suggest that SAM-I and SAM-IV riboswitches share similar ligand binding sites, but have different scaffolds. NCBI's taxonomy places the organism in Bacteria, Bacillati, Actinomycetota, Actinomycetes, Micrococcales, Micrococcaceae. The record is from Rfam.
CUUCAAGAGAUGCGGCGCCAAGCUCCGACUGGCCGCACGCCAACCCCAUGUUCGCAGGGUGGCUCGGAUGAGGAAGUGACCAGCGGUGACUGGAUCCGCGGGUAAGAGCACUCC